Molecule: ribosomal RNA, 286 nt
Filed under: uncultured bacterium
Lineage: Bacteria
Description: partial 16S ribosomal RNA
Rfam family: Bacterial small subunit ribosomal RNA
Source: RNAcentral
ACGAACGCUGGCGGCGUGCUUAAGACAUGCAAGUCGAGCGAGGGGAUUCUUUCAGCUUGCUGUGAGGGUCUCCUAGCGGCGGACGGGUGAGUAACGCGUGGGCAACCUACCCGCGAAUCGGGGACAACAGUGGGAAACCGCUGCUAAUACCGGAUGAGCUUUGCUUGCUGCAUGGCAGGCAAAGGAAAGGCAGCCUCUGCUUAGCAGCUGCUGUUCGCGGAUGGGCCCGCGUCCCAUUAGCUAGUUGGUGGAGGUAACGGCCCACCAAGGCGACGAUGGGUAGCCG